RNA transcript from Enhydra lutris kenyoni (northern sea otter), 1880 nucleotides. It is a transcript of the gene named YY1 associated factor 2, with no coding region annotated. The record is from RefSeq and is a predicted model, not a curated record. Lineage: Eukaryota; Metazoa; Chordata; Mammalia; Carnivora; Mustelidae. The transcript is spliced from 3 exons.
UUUAAAAUGUAGAGACAAGUGAUUGGCAAUAAUUUAAAUUUUAAGAUUUGUUUAGUUAAACUAGCUGCUUUUGACAUACCUUUUUGUGGACCAUAAUAUGCUUUUUUUACAUUAAUUUUUGUUUACAUUGGAUAAAAUGUAUUGAGCAUUUUUCAUGAUAUCCUUUAAGAAGCAGACUUUAAGACAUCUUCUAAAUCCAAGGGAAUAUAAUAGACCAUUCUAAAAAGAAGGAAAAGCACUUAUUUGCUGAAGUGAAUGUGGCAACUAUUUUUGGACCCGUGAUUUAAGUGUUUUGAAAAGUGGAGUAUAUCUUUAUAUAAGGUUGGAUUUGGUUGAGAUUAUGUUUGUAUAUCUCUGUUAGUACUUUGUACUUCUUAAAACACUCCCAACAAUUUUUAGAAAAUGGUUUUUGGAGGCAGGAACUUUAAAGUGGAGACAAUUAUUACAGUCUUAAUCUCUGGUACGAUGUUGUUGCUUUUUGUUGUUCCCUCUCUAUUUUCUUGUAGCCAUUAGAAAAAAUACUGAAACUAGAAGAGCCUAUAUGUUUAUUUGCAGGGACAGCAAGGAAGGGGGGAAGCUGUUGUCCUACUCCACAGCCAGUCUUGGGGUUAGAGGAACCCUAAGAAAUAGAGUAGGUGGUGGCAGCUCAGAAGAGAAGAAACAGGCUGAAUACCUGGCACCUGGAAGAAGAAGGAAUAGAGUGCACAGGGGAGUUGGCCCAGGACAGAGAAGUGGGCCUAGUUUAAAAGAGGCUUGAGGCCCACAUGGGGGCCCCUGAUAUUUUUUUACCAGUACAUCUGAGCUCUUGUAGAUCCAAUUUUUAGUGGUGGAAACAUUACUUGAGGAGGACUCAGAGAAGCAUUGUCAUUUGGAUUGAAACUGAAGAGGCUCUGGGCAACUCACCAGAAGUCUAAGGGACACUCUGUUCCUAAAAGAAACCUCGACCUGUCUCCCAGUUGGUUGCCCAGCAGGUUACUCAGCAGUUUGUGCCCCCUACACAGUCAAAGAAAGAGAAAAAAGAUAAAGUAGAAAAAGAAAAAAGUGAAAAGGAAACAACUAGCAAAAAGAACAGUCAUAAGAAAACCAGGCCAAGAUUGAAAAAUGUGGAUCGGAGUAGUGCUCAGCAUUUGGAAGUUACCGUUGGAGAUCUGACAGUCAUUAUUACAGACUUUAAGGAGAAAACGAAGUCCCCGCCUGCAUCUAGUGCUGCUUCUGCAGAUCAACACAGUCAGAGUGGCUCUAGCUCUGAUAACACAGAGAGAGGAAUGUCCAGGUCAUCUUCACCCAGAGGAGAAGCCUCAUCAUUGAAUGGAGAAUCUCAUUAAAGUUUAUUUUCUCCAAUUUCUUAGUCACUUCUGUCAUAACAUACAAAUAUACAGAUUAUGCCAAGAAGUACCACAUUUUCAUGACAAACAUUCAUGCACAAUCCAUAAUUUGCGUUUUACACAAAAUAGAAAUUUGUUAGAAUUUGUUAGACUUCAUUGCAAUCUAUGCCUACCAAACAAACCUUUUCAGACUUGACAUUUUGGUCUCCACAGUUCAAGGUGCCAUGAAAAUGUGGUUGAAUUAUUCAUUAUGCAGUGUUAUUGGUAAGUCUAUUUUCACUUUUAGUUUAGUGAAUUCUAACACAUAAUUCUUGAAUUCUCUACUAUUGGCAUGUAACGAAUUUAAAUUUUUAUAACAUAGUGCAAGCUGCCUAAAUAUGUAUUAUUUGAGAAUUGUGAACGAAUAGUUAUAUGUAUACAAGUCAAAGAUCAACUUAAUCAACUAUUGCUGCAACAGGAUUUUCUUAAUGGUUAUCCUCUUAAAUACACCUGCUGGUACUUGGUGUGGUUAAAUAGGAAAAAUUGUUAUUAAAUAAAGAAUUUGUAUGAACCGUU